GAAAUGCGAUAAGUAAUGUGAAUUGCAGAGUUUAGUGAAUCAUCGAAUCUUUGAACGCACAUUGCGCCCCUCGGUAUUCCGACGGGCAUGCCUGUUCGAGCGUCGUUUGCAAACCCUCAAGCGCAACCACUGUCGCCUUGGUCUUGGGCAUCCGCCCCCCGCGCGCGGGGGGCGGGCCCCGAAGUCAGCGGCGGCCCGCGACGACCGCCGGAGCGUCCUCGAAUGACACCGCUCCUGCGCGCGCGCCCCGGGCCCGCCGGCGAACGCAAACCUCAAGAGUUCGACCUCGGAUCAGGUAGGGAUACCCGCUGAACUUAAGC
This 320-nucleotide unclassified non-coding RNA is filed under the name plant metagenome. RNAcentral describes it as "partial contains 5.8S ribosomal RNA, internal transcribed spacer 2, and large subunit ribosomal RNA". The stretch from base 1 to 105 matches the Rfam family "5.8S ribosomal RNA", at positions 50 to 154 of the family's 154-position model. The record is from RNAcentral.